This 848-nucleotide long non-coding RNA is filed under the name Calidris pugnax (ruff). Its description in RNAcentral is "lncRNA (ENSCPUG00000008545.1)". The record is from RNAcentral. Lineage: Eukaryota; Metazoa; Chordata; Aves; Charadriiformes; Scolopacidae.
AUGUCACUGACUCUAAUGUGGUCAAAAAAUUACCUGUUGCAGUUGCUGGUUGGUCUCAGACCAAAUAUUGGUAAGAAAAUCAAGAGAGGCUUCUCCUUCAGAGCUAAGGUGAUCCCUCAGAUCCGUUCCUGGAUAAACUCUGAAGAACUGAGCUCCGUUCCUCGCCCGCCGCUGGCUGAGCAGGUGGGACGUCACAGCGGUGCUAGUUCCAUAAAGUGCCUACAGUUCUCCAUCUGGAACAAAGGAAUAAGUCUAGCUUUCAUGGCAAGAAUAAAGAACUGGUGUCCCAAAGCAGGCGUGGACAGAGGGGCCAUUUAAAGCACCCAUUUGGAAACCUGAAGGAUAAAGUAUGUCUUAAAUAACACCUCCUUCUGUGGAUUUAAGACUCGAGGAGGUGGGAGUGUACCCAAGCAGAGCACGUGCUGUUGGCCCAAUCAUGGUCAGACAGCUCACCCAUCUCUUGCAUAAGCAAAGACGCUUUUAAAAUUCAAAUGGAUCCCUGGAUCCUCAGAUUCACGCCGUGCCUGAAGGAGCACAACACAAAAUCUCUGAUACUGUUUCUUUCAGUAUUGUCAGACCACAAGAAAGGUUUGCUUGUGUCAAAGAAAUGCAGGAGUGCACUGGGGUUAAGAAUCCCGUUCUCUCUGCUGCACUGGGUGUCUGUGAGCGAGGCGGGCUAUGGCUGUCAGAGAGAGACCUGUGGAGGAACCCAGCCAGAUGGGAUGUGCCCGGGCUGCUUUCCACGGAGCCGUGCUCUGUGCCGCUGCUGCGCCGCGCUCACCUGGUACCGCCCCGGCCUGCGGAGCAGCAGCAGCGUCCCCGGAGGAGCCGAGGCUGCGGGAAGGUGA